Molecule: unclassified non-coding RNA, 260 nt
Filed under: Hevea brasiliensis (rubber tree)
Lineage: Eukaryota; Viridiplantae; Streptophyta; Magnoliopsida; Malpighiales; Euphorbiaceae
Source: RNAcentral
ACAAACCAGAAUGGUUGGUGGUUGAUCUUCUCUGUACUAUUUUUUUUCUCAAUCUUUGCUCUUAGUACUACUGUACCCAUGCUUAAGACUAUCUUUUCCUUAUUGAUGGAGAGGACACCAAAGGAAGUUGAUAUCGUUCAACUCGAGAAUGGCCUAAAAUCUUUAGCAGGAGUAAAAGAUGUUCAUGACCUACAUGUUUGGGCCAUCACUAUAGGGAAAAUUGUUUUGUCCUGUCACGUUGUAACUGAGCCAGGAGUCAA